Molecule: long non-coding RNA, 751 nt
Filed under: Mytilus galloprovincialis (Mediterranean mussel)
Lineage: Eukaryota; Metazoa; Mollusca; Bivalvia; Mytilida; Mytilidae
Source: RNAcentral
GUCGGAGUAUGGAUGUCGGAGUAAGGAUAUCGGAGUAAUGGUGGACAGAGAAAUGGUGGACGGAAAAAUCGUGGACGGAGAAAUGGUGGACAGAGAAACGGUGGACGGAGAAUGGUGGACGGAGAAAUGGUAGACGAAAAUGGUAGAUGGAGAAUGAUAGCAUAGAACUUUUGACAAUAAAUUGAACAAUUAUGUAAAAUUUAUCAAUUGAUUGUUUUAUACAAUAUAUAUAUUUAUGUUUUAUUUCAGGUUUUGUGUAUUGAUUCUUUAUUUUAGGUAUCUUUCGAUCCUGUAGUGUUAUAUUUGUAGCAAAGAAAUUUAUGCUAUAUUUCUAGAACAUUGGGGGGUAUGUAACACUAUGCAGUGAUCGAAAGUAUGGAAAUUAUUAAAUAUAUUUUCUAAAGUUUAUAAAUGUAUGUAUUAUUGUUAAACUACAAACGUGACUUUCUAUAUGUACAUGUUUUGGCUUAAGGGAUGUUCAAGCUUAUGACGAUUGCUUUUUCAUUCAGCAACAUGUGGUCAUCGUAUUUAAUUAGACUUUAAUAGUUUGGCUUUAAUUGACCUAACGUUAAGUAUAUGAGACCAAAAGUAAUGGUCACUUUUUAUAACCAUUUUAUUUGUGGCUAUAGGCUUUCUAAAAGUAAGUACCUGUCAAAGGUAGACAAACAACAUUCUUUCUAAAUUUAAGUCACGUUCGUAGUUGUAUAAAAGAACUGUCCCUAACAAGACAGUUCAGAUUGUAACUAGGCAC